ACAAUGGCAUAGUACAAGCCAUUGAAAUUAGCUCUAUUAUAGUGGAGAUUGUUUUGAAGGACCAAAUCAAAAAGAUCAUAUUGACAAAAGUCUUAUAUGUACCAAAGAUGAAAAGAAAAACCUUCAUUCAAUAAACAAACUUAUAUUACAUGGUUGUAAGGUUCAAUUUAACAUGAAUAUGUAUUAUAUAAAGACAUUGGAUAGAUAAGAUGUUGUCAAAGGCUUUAGAG
RNAcentral lists this long non-coding RNA (230 nucleotides) under Physcomitrium patens. RNAcentral's name for it is "long non-coding RNA (PPAT_LNC001755)". The record is from RNAcentral. Lineage: Eukaryota; Viridiplantae; Streptophyta; Bryopsida; Funariales; Funariaceae.